Molecule: ribosomal RNA, 253 nt
Filed under: uncultured bacterium
Lineage: Bacteria
Description: partial 16S ribosomal RNA
Rfam family: Bacterial small subunit ribosomal RNA
Source: RNAcentral
UACGUAGGGGGCAAGCGUUGUCCGGAUUCAUUGGGCGUAAAGAGCGUGUAGGCGGCCAGGUAGGUCGGUUGUGAAAACUGGAGGCUCAACCUUCAGAGGUCGACCGAAACCAUCUGGCUAGAGUCCGGGAGAGGAGAGUGGAAUUCCUGGUGUAGCGGUGAAAUGCACAGAUAUCAGGAAGAACACCCGUGGCGAAAGCGGCUCUCUGGAACGGUACUGACGCUGAGACGCGAAAGCGUGGGGAGCGAACAGG